RNAcentral lists this ribosomal RNA (459 nucleotides) under uncultured bacterium. RNAcentral's name for it is "partial 16S ribosomal RNA". It matches the Rfam family "Bacterial small subunit ribosomal RNA", at positions 338 to 795 of the family's 1533-position model. The record is from RNAcentral.
CCUACGGGAGGCAGCAGUGAGGAAUAUUGGUCAAUGGGCGCGAGCCUGAACCAGCGAAGUCGCGUGAGGGAAGACGGUCCUAUGGAUUGUAAACCUCUUUUGUCGGGGAGCAAAAGAAGCCGCGAGUGGCGUUCCGAGAGUACCCGAAUAACAAUCAUCGGCAAACUCCGUGCCAGCAGCCGCGGUAAGACGGGGGAGGCGAGCGUUAUCGGGAUUUAUUGGGUUAAAAGGGUGCGCAGGGGGAGUGUAAAGUCAGCGGUAAAAUUGAGGGGCUCAACCUCUUCGGGCCGUUGAGACUGGUUGUAGUGAGUGAGCGAGAGGUAUGCGGAAUGCGUGGUGUAGCGGUGAAAUGCAUAGAUAUCACGCAGAACUCCGAUUGCGAAGGCAGCAUACCGGCGCUCAACUGACGCUCAUGCACGAAAGUGUGGGUAUCGAACAGGAUUAGAUACCCCUGUAGUC